This 75-nucleotide transfer RNA is filed under the name Alosa alosa (allis shad). RNAcentral describes it as "tRNA-OTHER". The record is from RNAcentral. Lineage: Eukaryota; Metazoa; Chordata; Actinopteri; Clupeiformes; Clupeidae.
GCUAGGGUCAGGUUAACUGGUUAGGGCUUCGGGUUUGGAACCGAAAGGUUCCCGGUUCGAUCCCCGACCUAGGAA